UACGUAGGGAGCGAGCGUUGUCCGGAUUUAUUGGGCGUAAAGGGCGCGUAGGCGGUUAGGUAAGUCGGGUGUUAAAUCUCCAAGCUCAACUUGGAGCUGCCACUCGAAACUGCUUUGACUUGAGUCUGGUAGGGGAACACGGAAUUCCUGGUGUAGCGGUGAAAUGCUUAGAUAUCAGGAGGAACACCAGUGGCGAAGGCGGUGUUCUGGGCCAGUACUGACGCUGAUGCGCGAAAGCGUGGGGAGCGAACAGG
This 254-nucleotide ribosomal RNA is filed under the name uncultured bacterium. RNAcentral's name for it is "partial 16S ribosomal RNA". It matches the Rfam family "Bacterial small subunit ribosomal RNA", at positions 524 to 776 of the family's 1533-position model. The record is from RNAcentral.